CCUACGGGCGGCAGCAGUGGGGAAUAUUGGACAAUGGGCGAAAGCCUGAUCCAGCCAUGCCGCGUGUGUGAAGAAGGCCUUCGGGUUGUAAAGCACUUUCAGUGGGGAAGAAAGCCUUGGGGCUAAUACCCUCGAGGAAGGACAUCACCCACAGAAGAAGCACCGGCUAACUCCGUGCCAGCAGCCGCGGUAAUACGGAGGGUGCGAGCGUUAAUCGGAAUUACUGGGCGUAAAGCGCGCGUAGGCGGUCUGAUAAGCCGGUUGUGAAAGCCCCGGGCUCAACCUGGGAACGGCAUCCGGAACUGUCAGGCUAGAGUGCAGGAGAGGAAGGUAGAAUUCCCGGUGUAGCGGUGAAAUGCGUAGAGAUCGGGAGGAAUACCAGUGGCGAAGGCGGCCUUCUGGACUGACACUGACGCUGAGGUGCGAAAGCGUGGGUAGCAAACAGGAUUAAUACCCCUGUAGUC
Molecule: ribosomal RNA, 464 nt
Filed under: Vreelandella stevensii
Lineage: Bacteria; Pseudomonadati; Pseudomonadota; Gammaproteobacteria; Oceanospirillales; Halomonadaceae
Description: partial 16S ribosomal RNA
Rfam family: Bacterial small subunit ribosomal RNA
Source: RNAcentral